Long non-coding RNA from Homo sapiens (human), 1404 nucleotides. Ensembl annotates it as long intergenic non-protein coding RNA 1828. NCBI's taxonomy places the organism in Eukaryota, Metazoa, Chordata, Mammalia, Primates, Hominidae. The record is from Ensembl.
CCCAGGAAUUGCUGCCAAAGUCGGCCUUUGGUGCAGCUGUAAGUCGGAUGGAAUCCACCUUCCUGACGUCAGACCCACCCACUGGAACACUGCUCCUCUGACUGGGGCUUCCCUGAAUGGAAACUACAUGUCAUACUGCAAAAGACAGGGUCUCACUAUGUUGCCCAGGCUGGUCUCAAAUUCCUUCUCAAGUGAUCCUCCCACCUCAACCUCCCAAAGUGCUGGGAUUGCAGGCAUGAGCCACUGCACCCAGCAGAAAUUCUUAACGAGGCAAGGCCAACAGAGGCCAUUCAUUCAACAUCACGGCACCAUAGUGGCCUCUUUUUAAGACUCCUCAGGUUCCAGAUAGAUUUCAUCACUCAAGAUAAGCAAAUGAACCACAGAAUUUUGAAGUUAGAGGUAAUUACAGCAAUGAUCUUAGCCAGCCCCCAUACAUUUUGGGACACACAGGUUCAGGACUGCCUGCCCUGGAGCUGAUUCCAUAAGAUACCCAAACAACUUCUGAAAGAGAAAAAAGUCUUUGUCUCAGUUUCUGCUCUCCAGAGGUAACCCAAAGAGGUAAGGAACCCAGUGAGAAAGACAGAGAGAAGUAUGGACAAGAAACAGAUCCUAAACCUGUUUUGUUUUAUUUUUGGUAGUAGUUGUUUAUUUUUGAAAACAUUCAAACCACCUGUAUUGGUGGCUGUUAUUAUGAAAUAAAUAAACUGAGAAACAACAAGACAAUUUGGCCUCUACAAUUUGUUUAGUUUUGACUAAGUAUUUGCCUUGGAAGAAGUAUGUGUACAAUACUCAUUUUUAAAAGAUGCAACAGUCACCUCGUUACUUGGAGUUUUACUUGAGACUUGAAUGGACUGAAACCACCUGGUCACCACUAGAAGCUACAUCAAGGAAAAGAAAGGCAACAUAUUGAAUCUCUUGGGAGAAACUCAUCCUGUAUCUGCUCGAUUGAAAACAUGAAGGUGCACAUUCCAAGCUGCAUAUGCUCAGACUCUGCAAAGUUGGCCUCUGAAAAGUUGGUACCAAGUUACAUAACCAUCAAAAAUGAUAUUUAGUGGCUGAGGGUGAGACACACAACUGUGAUUCUAACAAGAAUAUGACACUGGAGAGGAUAUCUAUGAGAUGACUGGCAGACUCCACACCAAUGAUCCUGACAGGUUUGGGUUGAAUCAAAUGAUGAAAGGAACUAAAUAAUACCACAGAUGAUACAGAUGGCUUGCACCAGUGUGGCAAUAGUUUAACUAGUAACUCUACAAUUGCUGGACAAUCUUUAAUUUUUUUGUGAUGACAUUAUUAUUUUAAAGAAAAGUCAAACAAAUACUUGGUUCUUUAAGAUUUUCACAGCAGCACUUUAUAUAUGCCCUAUAAAUUUUUAUAUAAUUUAUAAUAAAAUAUGUGAUAUACUUU